UACGAAGGGGGCUAGCGUUGCUCGGAAUCACUGGGCGUAAAGCGCACGUAGGCGGCUUUUUAAGUCAGGGGUGAAAUCCUGGAGCUCAACUCCAGAACUGCCUUUGAUACUGGGAAGCUCGAGUCCGGGAGAGGUGAGUGGAAUUCCUGGUGUAGCGGUGAAAUGCGUAGAUAUCUGGAGGAACACCGGUGGCGAAGGCGGCAUCCUGGACCGGCAUUGACGCUGAGGCGCGAAAGCCAGGGGAGCAAACGGG
RNAcentral lists this ribosomal RNA (253 nucleotides) under uncultured bacterium. RNAcentral describes it as "partial 16S ribosomal RNA". It matches the Rfam family "Bacterial small subunit ribosomal RNA", at positions 524 to 776 of the family's 1533-position model. The record is from RNAcentral.